UGAAAAACGAAGGAAGGAACUGGGAUGUCUGCUUGGUUUCUGAAGACUCAGAGGGCAAUGGGAUAUUUGGAGGAAGACGUGAGACCCCCCCCGUAUAUGCUAAUGCUCUCUGCAGGAUAUUGUGGCAGCAUAGUUGAGGUUGACAAAAUUUAAAGAUCUGACAAUAUCGAGUGUUGGUGAGGAUGUGGACAACCAGGAUCUUGUAUGCUCUUCUGGUGAGACUGUGUAUCAGUACAACUACUUUGAAGAAAAAUCUGGCAGUCUGUCCACUCCCACUUCUGUCCCUUGACAGCCUGUGCUUCACACAGCAGCGACGUGAGCCUUCUAGAGCUUAAAUCACGCCAUGGCACCUCUCAAUUAGAAGCCUUCUGCAGUGAAUGACGUAUUGCCAUACGCAGCAACACAGAUGAAUCUCACAAACAUGAGGUUGAAUGAAAGAAACUAGACACAAAAGAGCACAAACUAUAUGAUUCCUAUGAUUUCUUUAUAUAAUGUUCAAACACAGUGUGCUGGUUUGGAUGUAUUAUGUCCCCCAAAACUCCAUGUUCUUUGAUGCAAUCUUGUGGGGGCAGGCGUAUUAGUGUUGAU
Choloepus didactylus (southern two-toed sloth) is the source of this 588-nucleotide long non-coding RNA. RefSeq lists it as uncharacterized. The transcript has 4 exons. The record is from RefSeq and is a predicted model, not a curated record. NCBI's taxonomy places the organism in Eukaryota, Metazoa, Chordata, Mammalia, Pilosa, Megalonychidae.